UUAAGGGGUGCUGAUUUUUUCAGACAUGAGAAUCGGCUGAGAUGAUACCCUCUGACCUGAACAGGGUAAUGCCUGCGUAGGAAACUGGACUUCU
This 94-nucleotide non-coding RNA is filed under the name uncultured Prevotella sp. Lineage: Bacteria; Pseudomonadati; Bacteroidota; Bacteroidia; Bacteroidales; Prevotellaceae. The record is from RNAcentral.